CAUGAACGAGAUAAAGAUGCAAAUAUAUCAGGUGAACGAUAUAAAUGAACAAGGAACGCAUCCAUGUGCAUACGGUCAGUAGUGCAACGACACAAAAAUGGGUGUCGUGCUAAGACUUCGAGUUGUCAUAGGUGUGCUGCUCGUCUUCUUCGUCCUCUACUUGCUCUUUAUCGGCAUCAGACGAGCAGUGGUCACUGGUAGGCAAAGCGUCAAGGGUACUGGACAUGUGGUACUGAAGGAGCCAACCUUGCAAAGGAAUACCUUCGUGAGGUCGGAGCCUGUCAGGGCUAAAUGGCCGGGGAUAAGGAUUAAGAUGCGUUCCCAUGCGAAAGUGAGUAGUCAGAAGACGGGGACUGAUGAUCGAUUACACCCCAAGAAAGGAGACGAAAGUGGUGGACAAGCGAUAAGAGUGCGUAAUUGGGUACAAUUGCAAUUUGCUGAAAAAGCAGUGAUACUACAAGGACUUGCCGAAGAAUUUGCUGCAAAAGCUAAACUCCUGAAAAAUCACUUGCAGCUAAGUGCCAACCAGCUUGCCGAGAAAAUACGCCGACGUAAGAAGUCGCAGGCUGCGACGAAGCUUGUACCUGUUGUUAAGAAGAGUUGAAUUGCAGUUGUAAAUUUAUAAAGGCACAAUUAAGGCAUGAGAUAUGUUGAUUUUUCAUACAAGAAUGGCUUUCACCAGAAUCGUGACUUCUCUAAAAUCAGCAAACUGCAAUAAACAAUGCACCGGAUCUGGGUGUAACUUAUAGGCCUGCCUUAAAUUCCCAAAGCAUGUUAACCGGCGAAAAUCAUUUUAAGAUAUCAGCAUUGGUAUGAUACUACCAGCGGCGGCACAUGGUGGCAAGCAGGAGUAUUAUCCUCCUGGCCAGAUAAAUCCAACGCCCAAGUUUAAAGAGACAGAAGGAUGACGACGACAACGACGACGACGACGACGGGUAUGAUGCUGAUGGUGGAUACUAUAGAACAUAGUAACUUAUCACAGAAUUACUUUUAAUAUGUGCAAAGGUGGUGAAGUAAAUAUUUUGUAAAAAAUUUAGCUUACAAUAUUACAUAGCCUUCUCUCUUAGUCUGGUGUGAAUCAAUAAGGGUGACUUGGCCAAUAAUUCGAACCUGGCUGUCAUGAAUUUUCGAUUUUGCCUCAUUUUUUGUAUUCCCUCGAAAUGGAAAGAAAUAUUCGACCACCUUCUUGUAUGGAUAGCAUCUUCAGUUCAAACGAUCCUGUUGUGUUGUUUAUUACCGCACACUGUAUUUCACCACUGCCAAUUAAUAACCUCCGGAUCUCCGUGAACAUGAAAAUGAUCUUAAAUGCCCUUUGUGCUGAGUGGCGGUUAGAUGCGAAUUGGCUUUUUAGCGUUGAUAUUGCUUUCAAACACAAUGGCCUGGCCACAGGAAAUCGAUCAUUAAAGGUUAAUUAAACUGAAAAAGUGCAAAGAGUGACUUGUCUGACGAUAUAUAUCGGUAAUAUUGUGCGGUCACCCGAGUUGAGUAGAUUAAGAUUGUGUUCUUAGACACUGCUGAUGAGUCAGUACGUGUUUCUUCAGAUUGUUUCCAGAUCUUUUCGAGCUGUGAUCAGGCUACUUCGCGCAACAUGGAGUCAUUUCCUAAUUAAUAUAAUUUAGCCACAGGAAGGCAGCAACUAAUAUCAUGAACUUCAUAGUUUUUUUUUCACUAUGUACACUAUGCACAUAAACCAUGUAAACAGGCGAACGAAUUCGAUCCACAUGUGUCAUUAGCUGGCUUCCGAAUGAUUAGUACGCAUAGUGUAAAAAGCUAGUGUAAAUAAAUUAUGAAGCUCACAGACAUAAGUUGCUGCCUUCCUUAUUUAUCAAACGGACACUUAAGUUCUCUACCCAAGUUAUAGUAUAGUUUAGCAGGACUUUGAACUGUCCCUUUAGCUUCAGACACUUGCUAACUUGAAUGCUAACUAUACUAAAAAGGACCGUUGAGUAAUAAAAACCAGAAAGGCUUUUUCAUGUACAUGUAGUUACAAUUGAUAACGCCAACAUCUCGGAUUCUAUCGCGGAUUUAACCAUGGAAACGUUUGCAAUAUCAGUGAUGUUAAUUUUGAUGUGUACGGUAGGACUGAAUUCAGGACUAGACCCACCAGCUGGCUAUACUUGGCGGCAAGGAGACUGUUUCGGGAAUGACAUCAUACAGUACAACCAAGUAAACAUAGAGCAGUGCUGCAUGCUGUGCAGCAAGGUUCAUAGAUGUCUGACUGUGCAGGCGGACACCAGUAGUGAUACGUGUUGGCUUAAAAGCCGCAAGUGCGCCACGACAUCAACCGCCAACAUCAACAAGAACACGUUUGAUAAAAUAAGGCCAAUCUUCAUGUUUACCACCUUUGCCAGUGCAGCAACGAAGCCCGUCACUGGGAAAAUAGUGGGCGUACAGACAGACCCGACCAUGAUCCACUGCUCCGUGGCUUGCCUGCAAAUGGAAGAGUGUAGCUUCUUUACCUACGAUAAAGUCUCUGGAGAAUGUCAACUUGUAGAUGUCCUCGGGACCGGGGCACCACUUGGAACAAUUGGAGCCGGAGUCAUGUACGAGCUGGCAGGAAUUUAGUCAAUAUUCCACAUUUAAGAGAUUUAUCAAGUCCCUGAUGGAGAACAUGAAUUGGAUUCCAUAUUCAGCACUUUCCGAUGAACAAAAUGUUGACUUAUGGCCGAUAUGGUGGCCAUGCAAUCAAGCGGAAGCCAUAUUGGCCGACCAAAAGCCGAAAAAUACAGCUCUUUGCGAAAAUAAUUUGUUUUACACAACCUGUUAGAGUGAUAUGAACUUCGGGCAUCUUGUACUGUACUCAAUAUCGUGAGUGAAACAUAUGUCAAUUAGGAGGACUGCUAUUGUUCUUCAAAUUCCUCGACACCAAGGUGGAUGCAUCCUAAAUUUCAGGGCAACACUCUACACCACUGAUGGGCGAGCAUACGACGGACUCUGGUAUUCCAGGUUGAGCUGGAUGAUACGUUUAUAGUUUCUAAUCAUCUCAUUCAUUGUCCUGCACUACUGGCAUUGGCAUACCACUCCAGUACCCGUGAGUCAAUUUGGAAUGGGGAUUCCGGUGAGAAUAUGACUGGGGUACUGAAAAUUGAGAAACAAAUGCAAUUUGGCACAAAUUUCAAGCUUGAUGGCUGCAUGCACAUAUACAGAUCAAUACCAGAAGUUGUUUAGUUUCAGCUGCAAUAGGGCAAUGAAGCGCUCUUGAGAGUGAAUCAAUCAGUCAGUGAUGCCAUUAUCUAUCGGCUUUGUGCGUCGAUCAGUAUCCCUGCUUCAAAAUGUGAAGCCGGAUACUUAGGAUUGACGCACCACGCCGAUAAAUCAGCAUUGUCAUGUUGGUUUCCGUCCAUUUUACUCGACAAGUGAAUGGCCAAGGUCACUGAUGAGAUGGUAAGAAUUGCAGAUAAUUUCAAAAGCUGUCAAACGUACCUAGCAACGAAGGUUGGUUUUGACAUUUGACUUUAUUACGUUCGUUAAAUUACGAUGGAUUGUUGAGUAAACUGUAUAUACAAGCUGACAGACAUGAAUAAAACAGAAUGGCGGAUCCAAUUACGUUGCUGGAUUAAACCGGAACGCUAUUUCUGGAGA
Lineus longissimus is the source of this 3582-nucleotide long non-coding RNA. RefSeq lists it as uncharacterized. The transcript has 4 exons. NCBI's taxonomy places the organism in Eukaryota, Metazoa, Nemertea, Pilidiophora, Heteronemertea, Lineidae. The record is from RefSeq and is a predicted model, not a curated record.